GACCUGGGGUCCCUGCUUCUCCAGGUGCUCCCGGAUUUUGCUCUCUAGCCUCCGGUUCUCGGUCUCCAGGCUCCUCACUCUGUCCAGAUGUGGGCCACCAGCCUUAAGCCAGAGGGAGCUUUGUAAGACAGGAACAUAUAAAAUGAUAAAAGCUUCUCUACGUACAGUUUUCCUGACUCUGAUUCUGCGUGGGACAACCAGUGAAAAUUGCAGGUGAAGAGAAGAAAUGCGUAUUUAUUCCUCCACUGGGAAAAAAAAUACCAUCCAAAGCUACAUGACUUGAGAGACAAGGUCUCACUAUGUUGCCCAGGCUGGCCUCGAACUCCCGGGCUUCAGCAGUCCUCCCGCCUCACCCUCCGAUGUAGCUAGGACUACAGGACCGCGACCCGGCGCUGCCUAAGAACUGUUUUUAAACGUGAAAGCCACGGCUAUCAUUUGCUUUUUGCUCUGCUCUUCAUCUUCUGGAUAAACCUCGUAACACACUGCUUGUUUUGGGUGGUAGUCUGCUGCCUACGCCCCGUCAGACAAGUGGCCUGAGUCCCCCGCAACCCCUGCAGGUCCGGCCGCCGGCGCCAAGCCUCAAGGCAUCCAAGCCAGGAACGAUCGCGGUCAGCUCUGCCACGGAACAUGUGCAAGACCCGGCAGCAGGUUCCGGGGGAGGCGAAUUGAUUUCACAACGGUCGAGAAGGAGGACCCCGCCCACUUCGUCAUUUCUCGGAAGCCCAGGGACUCGCCGGAAGAGCGGCUCAAAAGCCGGAAAACUGGCAAAUCCGAGUCUCCCGGCGCAUGCGCGGCGCAAUCGGCUUCGCGUGGUUGCAGUAGAGAGGAUCCCUCCGCCAGCCACUGCAUCCGGCGGCCGGAUCUAACUUACCCGCUAGCGUUUUACCCUUGCGCGGCCGUGGCGUAGGGCGGUCUUUUCCCUUGGUCCUCCGCGGCGCCGCCUCUUGUGACGUAAGCCGCAGAAUCCUCUGUCUUAGUUCGGCUCUAUUGCCGCGAGCUUGACUCUUCCUGGGUCUGAGGAAAAGUAAAAGUAAUUUUGUCAUUUCCUGAAACUUCAAGUUAAACCUUUAAGCUGUUCAUUUCCUAAAAGGGUGAAAACGCGGGCACCCCUCGAGCUAGUUCAUCGCCUUUUAACCUGUUGUUGGAUCUUUCCAGAUCACCACACCACAUCACCCAGCCACUCUGCCCAAUGGGAGGGCAGACAGUGUUCCAGUGUAGGAGGAAGGGGUGUAAGGUGCGGGCAGUUUGUGAGGAGGGCACCAACGAGAGCUACUGUGAGAAAGUCUGCAUGGUCAAAAAGUGGAUUACCAAGAACAAAGCAUCAUAAUGUUGUCCAGUGGACCCCAGGUUGAAAAGUCAGGUUCUGGAAUUGGCUGUCUGGAUUAAAAUACUGGUUCCAUCACUGAGAAGCUGUGUGACCUUGCGAAAAUUACUUAAUCUCUUUGUGUUUCAGUUUUCUGAUCUGUAAAAUGAAGUCAAUAAUGCCCCUUUUCUGAGGCCUCCCUUGGCCAGAUAUGAUUAAAUAUUUAUCAAACUAAGGACUCAGCUUACUUGGAGUGAAAACUCUUCAGGGCCUCUCAGAGAUACCUAAGAUAAGUACCUUAUUUUAGUAGCUCUCAAAUAAAGCUUCUUUUAUGCUCUGUCUUUUUCAUAUAUAAAAUAAGGUCUAAUUAGAAAGUUUUAUAAUGGAGGCAGUCAAUUCCCCAAUUCCUUAUUUGUUUGAAUUAACUUUUAAAAAAUUGGGGUGUUCACUCUGGCGUUGGCUCAAUCCAGACUCUGUAAUCAGCCAACAAUCUGUGCUUCACAAAGGCUGGCGUCCUAACUGCCAGCUUCUGCCAUCCGCACCUUUUCCGUGGGGUAAUACAUUUUAAUUGGUACUUCUCUGAGAGCCCUACACAUCUCCAUCUGGCCAAAUAAACAUACUUUUACUAUUCAGCCUCAACAUCUUGGCAGUUAACAAGAGGACAGACUUGCCACAAUGGGUAAUCUUUAAGAUGCAUAAAAUCCUAAAAUUAAAGGACCAGGUACAGGUGGUAUAAUCAAUGGCUGCCUAGAAGAUGGCUCAUCUACAAAGUGGCUUUGUGUUCCACAGUCUUUUUAACACUGCUCUUGUGAUCCUAAAUGCAGUUCCUGAGCCGAGUCAGCAUUGAGAGCUCUCUCCUCUCAAAGGGCACAUUAGUGAUGAAAUAUUUCACUUCCAAUGACAGCAUAACUUUUUGGAUAUAGGCUUAUUAGCAACGUGUUUCCACUGGUUGGAUUGAGCAAGUGUAACCAGAAGGCAGAAUGGUGAAAUGGUUAAGAGCAUGGGUUCUAGAGUCAGGCUGCGUUCAAAUUCUGCUGCUGUUAAUUUAUCUUUGUGACCUUGGGCAGUUACCAUACCUCUCUGUGCCUCAGUUUCCUCAUCAGUAAAGCAGAGAUAAUGUCAGUAUUUUCCUCAUAAGAGUAUUGCAAGGACUGAUUAAAUGAGAUAAGGUGUCUGAUAUGUUUAGCACAGGGCAUGACUUGUAUUUGCUAACAAUUAUUUUUAGGCAAGGUCAGUAGACCAAAUAACUUGAGCAGCAGAAAGGAAGUGGAAGGCGAAUAACCAGCUAUGAGGUUAUUUCUCAGAUAAUUUCUUCCUAUUUCAAUGCUUCACUUUUUACAGUUUAAUCAUCAAGCAACAGUGUUAGGGAUUACGUGAGAUAAUAUGGUCUGUGUGCUGAUUCACUCAUUUAGUGUGGUCUCAUUUCCUUAAAGAACACAUCUUGAGAGAACACUUUUUUUCUCUCUAACCCUCAGGGUCAUCUGGAUGAAAUGAAUACUUUUAGGGCAAAAUGGCUGAUACUGCUUCCUUGAUAACCACAUAUAGAAAACUGACAACUGUUUAGAACAAAGCCAAAGAUGAAACCAAAUAUAAAACCACUGAUGAAAACUAAGUGAAAAAUAUAAGCAAAAUAGAAGAAAAAUAAGGUCGUUAUUUCAAGAAAACGAAAGACAGUCAAUGCUGUUCUUUGUAUUCACAUACAAUUUGGUUCACACCAAAAUUUUUUAUCUUUAUCGUAUAACUGAAUGAGUUAUGUGGCACAUUCCCAUCCAUGCCCAAACCUCUCUUGAGAGAAGCCCAAGUGAUUGACCCAUCAAAUCCCAGCUCAAGAUAUUACUGUUUUCCAGUGGGAACCACCUGAACUGAAGGCAACAGGAAUCGAAGAACAACUCAAGGAAAUAAAUUGCCUCUGUCAGGAAGAAUGCACCUUCCAAUAAGUGAUGAGUGUCACUCAGUUCUGGGAUGAGGAAUGUUUUGCAGUGCUUAUCCGAUCACAAAAUCCGCCAGGGGAAGUUCACUCGGAAGACCUCAACUUUUUCCUACCAGUUAUUUAACCAACAUGGGAGAGAAUAAGACACGGAAAAGGGAUCAGCAAAAAGUGCAAAGCCCCUGCUUUUCCUACUCAAAGUGAGAUCCCUGGACCAGCGGCAUCAGCAUCACCUUGGAGCUUGUCAGAAGUGCAGAAUCUCAGGUUCUGAUCCCAGAUCUACUGAAUCAGAAUGUGCACUUUAAUACGGUCCCCAGGUGUCCAGUGACACGUUCAAAUUUUGAGAAGCGAUGGCCCAGACAAUGAAAUAAGAGAAUCUGAAGUGGACCAGGGCAGAGGCCUUUUUCCUCAAGCAAGGCUGCUGAGGGUUUCACUAAUUCUGUAGUAAGGUGCACAGCAGCUCCCUGAGGUACACAGAAGCUCUUGCUCACCUGCCACUUCCAGCCUUGGUAUUUUCCAGUUGUCGGGUAAG
This 3762-nucleotide long non-coding RNA is filed under the name Homo sapiens (human). Its description in RNAcentral is "HSALNT0315644". The record is from RNAcentral. Lineage: Eukaryota; Metazoa; Chordata; Mammalia; Primates; Hominidae.